UACGAAGGGGGCUAGCGUUGCUCGGAAUCACUGGGCGUAAAGCGCACGUAGGCGGCUUUUUAAGUCAGGGGUGAAAUGCCAAGGCUCAACCUUGGAACUGCCUUUGAUACUGGAGACCUUGAGUCCGGGAGAGGUGAGUGGAAUUGCGAGUGUAGAGGUGAAAUUCGUAGAUAUUCGCAAGAACACCAGUGGCGAAGGCGGCUCACUGGCCCGGAACUGACGCUGAGACGCGAAAGCGUGGGGAGCAAACAGG
Molecule: ribosomal RNA, 253 nt
Filed under: uncultured bacterium
Lineage: Bacteria
Description: partial 16S ribosomal RNA
Rfam family: Bacterial small subunit ribosomal RNA
Source: RNAcentral